AGGGCAUGGUGAUGAAGCUUUUGGUGUUCUGAGAUUUUCAUCUUUGAUGAAUCCAAACCCUCCUACUCAUUCUGA
RNAcentral lists this small nucleolar RNA (75 nucleotides) under Ananas comosus (pineapple). RNAcentral describes it as "Small nucleolar RNA Z105". It matches the Rfam family "Small nucleolar RNA Z105". Rfam says of the family: This family consists of several snoRNA Z105 sequences which are members of the C/D class of snoRNA which contain the C (UGAUGA) and D (CUGA) box motifs. This family seems to be found exclusively in plants. C/D box small nucleolar RNAs are known to act as a methylation guides for 18S ribosomal RNA. Lineage: Eukaryota; Viridiplantae; Streptophyta; Magnoliopsida; Poales; Bromeliaceae. The record is from Rfam by way of RNAcentral.